Molecule: ribosomal RNA, 473 nt
Filed under: Photobacterium damselae
Lineage: Bacteria; Pseudomonadati; Pseudomonadota; Gammaproteobacteria; Vibrionales; Vibrionaceae
Description: bacterial SSU rRNA
Rfam family: Bacterial small subunit ribosomal RNA
Source: RNAcentral
UUAAUUGAAGAGUUUGAUCAUGGCUCAGAUUGAACGCUGGCGGCAGGCCUAACACAUGCAAGUCGAGCGGCAGCGACUUAACUGAACCUUCGGGGAACGUUAAGGGCGGCGAGCGGCGGACGGGUGAGUAAUGCCUGGGAAUAUGCCCUGAUGUGGGGGAUAACUAUUGGAAACGAUAGCUAAUACCGCAUAAUCUCUUCGGAGCAAAGAGGGGGACCUUCGGGCCUCUCGCGUCAGGAUUAGCCCAGGUGGGAUUAGCUUGUUGGUGAGGUAAUGGCUCACCAAGGCAACGAUCCCUAGCUGGUCUGAGAGGAUGAUCAGCCACACUGGAACUGAGACACGGUCCAGACUCCUACGGGAGGCAGCAGUGGGGAAUAUUGCACAAUGGGGGAAACCCUGAUGCAGCCAUGCCGCGUGUGUGAAGAAGGCCUUCGGGUUGUAAAGCACUUUCAGUAGGGAGGAAGGUAGUGUAG